This 292-nucleotide ribosomal RNA is filed under the name uncultured bacterium. RNAcentral's name for it is "partial 16S ribosomal RNA". The record is from RNAcentral.
GGACUACUGGGGUUUCUAAUCCUGUUUGCUCCCCACGCUUUCGUGCAACAGCGUCAGUAACCAGCCAGAUAGCCGCCUUCGCCACCGGUGUUCCUCCUAAUAUCUACGAAUUUUACCUCUACACUAGGAAUUCCGCUAUCCCAUCUAGUACUCUAGUUCUACAGUAUUAAAAGCAAUUCUAGGGUUGAGCCCCAGGCUUUCACUUCUAACUUAUAAAACCGCCUUCGCACGCUUUACGCCCAAUAAUUCCGAGUAACGCUAGCUCCCUUCGUAUUACCGCGGCUGCUGGCAC